GGGGUUGUGGCUCAGUGGUAGAGCACUUGCCUGGCAUGUGUGAGGCACUGGGUUCAAUCCUCAGCACCA
RNAcentral lists this transfer RNA (69 nucleotides) under Marmota marmota marmota (Alpine marmot). It matches the Rfam family "tRNA". Rfam says of the family: Transfer RNA (tRNA) molecules are approximately 80 nucleotides in length. RNAcentral also lists the same sequence under 5 other names. Lineage: Eukaryota; Metazoa; Chordata; Mammalia; Rodentia; Sciuridae. The record is from Rfam by way of RNAcentral.